RNAcentral lists this long non-coding RNA (514 nucleotides) under Bos taurus (domestic cattle). Its description in RNAcentral is "long non-coding RNA NONBTAT010946". Lineage: Eukaryota; Metazoa; Chordata; Mammalia; Artiodactyla; Bovidae. The record is from RNAcentral.
UCCACAUGGUCCUCUCAGAGAAAAUCUGGACUUUCCUUUUCAGGCUGUGAAACAAUUUAUCAUUUUCUCAAAUGUGAGGCAGAGAUCAAGCUCAGGUUCCAAAUAACAUUUAAGUAUUUACCAUGGGUCUAGCACUAAAGCUUCAAGAAGCUUAUAUUGUAGUUGGAAAGGCAGAUUAAACACACAUUGGCACAGACUAUCAGAAAUAAAAUACAAUUUUUGACUUCUAGCAAUGUGCUCUUUCCACUAUAGCAUACCAUCCCAUUUUCAGAUGGCCAAAUCUACUUAUUCUGGAGGCUUAGUUCUUUUCCUUUGUUUACAAUUUUAGAAUCCUCUGCCACCUGGAGCCAUUUCCUAUUAAAGAAAACAGAAAUAAGUCUUGAGAAUAAAUAGAUGUCCUUUCCACCUGAAAGUUAGUAUGCCCACUGAGAACACGGAACAUCUCUGGGCUUCCCUUUAUUUACUGAAAUCUAGAUAGACACAGGGGGCUUAGCAGAGCAAAAGGCACUACUGA